UCAGUGUUACGGAUUUUAUGAAAUACUAGCUGUCAGAGAUGCUCACGGGUCGAGCAUAGUCGAACCCCGAUGUUUUUUUCUUUUUAAGAACAUGACAUAUGUCCAUUUGUUAGUCCGACAAGAGCCAGCUUAUAGAAAUACACCGGACUUUCGGGUGAGCGCUUAAGGCGCCUUUAAACCCCCCGAUGACACCCAGCAAUCCUUUAAUAAGCAACCCGAAAACAAUAUAUACAUCGCAUUCGACACGUUCUGCUGGAUCACGUUAUUUCUGGCGACGUUCUUGAGCACUGUUAUGGACACGAAGCUGCUGCUCAUGUCUAUGCGGACCCAGGUGGCAGUGCAACGGAGUUACCGGGAGACAAAUGCCAGGGCUUCUUCCAAUGGUCAGAGGCACCGGAGCUACGACGAAUCGUUGAGCCAAGCUCUUAACGAGGUGUUUCACUCCUAUAUCACUAUGGUUAUUGAUAAUGACUAACAUUUAUACGAUGUAAAACAUUGCAUGAAUUAACCUUUGAAGUACAAUAAUUUACUGACAAGCAGAGUACCAGAUAUAAAAUUCCGUCGAAUAAUGUUGAACAUUUUGGAUGAUAUUUAUGGUAAACAGUAAAUUUUAUAAGAUAAGAAAAUUGGUUGACUGAUUUUAAAUGCCAGUGUCUGUACUCUCUGGACUUAAAAUAAUGACGCUUUGCAUAGUAAAUGUAAUUACAAUGUUAUUAAAGCAAGAAUAAAAAAGUACAAUUGCUACUUGGCCGCUUGAAAAUUUAUAAAACAGUACUAUACGCACAGGCGCCUGAAUCACACUUAUAGAGCAUACUUAAAUAAAGAAUUUUACUGAUUCG
Molecule: RNA transcript, 839 nt
Organism: Manduca sexta (tobacco hornworm)
Lineage: Eukaryota; Metazoa; Arthropoda; Insecta; Lepidoptera; Sphingidae
Exons: 3
Source: RefSeq, a predicted model, not a curated record